Molecule: ribosomal RNA, 433 nt
Filed under: uncultured bacterium
Lineage: Bacteria
Description: partial 16S ribosomal RNA
Rfam family: Bacterial small subunit ribosomal RNA
Source: RNAcentral
AGCGAACGCUGGCGGCAGGCCUAACACAUGCAAGUCGAACGGAUCCUUCGGGAUUAGUGGCGGACGGGUGAGUAACACGUGGGAACGUGCCCUUUGGUUCGGAACAACUCAGGGAAACUUGAGCUAAUACCGGAUGUGCCCUUCCGGGGAAAGAUUUAUCGCCAUUGGAGCGGCCCGCGUCUGAUUAGCUAGUUGGUGAGGUACCGGCCCACCAAGGCGACGAUCAUGAGCUGGUCUGAGAGGAUGAUCAUCCACACUGGGACUGAGACACGGCCCAGACUCCUACGGGAGGCAGCAGUGGGGAAUCUUGCGCAAUGGGCGAAAGCCUGACGCAGCCAUGCCGCGUGAAUGAUGAAGGUCUUAGGAUUGUAAAAUUCUUUCAGCGGGGACGAGAAUGACGGUACCCGCAGAAGAAGCUCCGGCUAACUACGUG